This 498-nucleotide ribosomal RNA is filed under the name uncultured bacterium. RNAcentral's name for it is "partial 16S ribosomal RNA". It matches the Rfam family "Bacterial small subunit ribosomal RNA", at positions 30 to 523 of the family's 1533-position model. The record is from RNAcentral.
AUUGAACGCUGGCGGCAGGCCUAACACAUGCAAGUCGAACGGUAACAGGUCUUCGGACGCUGACGAGUGGCGAACGGGUGAGUAAUACAUCGGAACGUGCCCAGUCGUGGGGGAUAACUACUCGAAAGAGUAGCUAAUACCGCAUACGAUCUGAGGAUGAAAGCGGGGGACCUUCGGGCCUCGCGCGAUUGGAGCGGCCGAUGGCAGAUUAGGGAGUUGGUGGGAUAAAAGCUUACCAAGCCGACGAUCUGUAGCUGGUCUGAGAGGACGACCAGCCACACUGGGACUGAGACACGGCCCAGACUCCUACGAGAGGCAGCAGUGGGGAAUUUUGGACAAUGGGCGAAAGCCUGAUCCAGCAAUGCCGCGUGCAGGAUGAAGGCCUUCGGGUUGUAAACUGCUUUUGUACGGAACGAAAAAGCUCCUUCUAAUACAGGGGGCCCAUGACGGUACCGUAAGAAUAAGCACCGGCUAACUACGUGCCAGCCGCCGCAGUAA